Molecule: non-coding RNA, 2307 nt
Organism: Heterocephalus glaber (naked mole-rat)
Lineage: Eukaryota; Metazoa; Chordata; Mammalia; Rodentia; Bathyergidae
Source: RefSeq, a predicted model, not a curated record
UGUGCCGGGACGCGCGGCGGGGUUGCCCGGGAGAAAGGAAGGCGCUCCAUUUCCGGGUCAAGUCCGGCUCCCGCCUCCCUCGGCGUGGGCUAUGGCGAGCGGCGGUGGCGCCGGGGCGGCGGGGGCUGCGGCGGCGGCGAACCUCAACGCGGUGAGGGAGACCAUGGACGUUCUGCUUGAGAUUUCAAAAAUUUUGAAUACUGGCUUAGAUAUGGAAACUCUGUCUAUUUGUGUACGACUUUGUGAACAAGGCAUUAACCCAGAAGCUUUGUCUUCAGUCAUUAAGGAGCUUCGCAAGGCUACUGAAGCACUAAAGGCUGCUGAAAAUACAACAAGCUGACUUUCUGGAGAAAUCUUGAUGAGAUAUGUCAAGCUCUGCGGGAGGAUUUGAAGAUAGAGCUGACUCUUAAAAAGUUGAAGAGCGACUCAUUAACAUAAAAUGAAGAAAAAGGAUGGAAAAUGAGAGAUGAUGCGAUGGAGUACAACCUAAUCAUUCAUGUAGUUCACAAACUCUUGUUGAAUGUUUGUUACAGGUCAAGGAAUGGCAGUGGAAAUGGAAACAUUCUCUCCAAAUGAAAGCAUAAUAGAGUAGGGGAGACUUAGGUGAACAAAUGUGAAGAAUUGAAAGAAUGCAUGAAAAAUGACAUGUUGGUUGCCAUGGUGAUGCUGUUACCUGGGUUCUUUCCCCUCCCAGCCUUGGCUGAUUGCCUCCCUCCCAUCAAAACCAAAACAACAGUGAAACUUGGGAGCAGGCCCGUAGUACCCACCGCCCUCUGGAACAAAGGAGAGCUCUUCUGGUGAUGGGAUGAAGGUAGAAAUGGCAUCUGCGAGCCCUCCGGCCGGCCUAUCUGCCAGCAGCAAGUUAUACCCAGUUGCCAGGUCUCUAGCUUAGUACUCUGCUGUGUACAGCAAAGAAGUCUGAUCUUGUUUGGAAUCAAGGCGAGUCAAGGGCUUUGGGAGGAUAAUCCAUUCACAUGAUGCAGUAAAUUAGUUUCAAGGAUGAUGUAAUUUCUGAGUAACUUCUCUUCCCUGGUGUGUCGACAGAAGACUUUUUUAGGUCUGCUUCUUUGUCAAGGCAACUGUAGAUUAAAAACAAACAUUUUCAAAUAAACAGGGAUCUGAUCUGGAGUAAUUUUUUUUAAGUCAAGAAACAUGAUGUUAGAUUUGCAGGAGCAUUCCUUCAGAAAGCCCCAGUGGCCCUACUUUAGGUACCUCAAGCCCUACUGCCUGUGAAAUGUGGGGCCCUGGUUGCUCACUUCACAUUUCUGUGACCCAGUUUCUGAAAUUAUGUAUCCUCAAGGAGUUAGAGUCCCAGCUCUAACAUUUUUUGCAUGAGAAACAGAGAGGUUAGAGCAGCUCACUGUCCAGUAGAAACAAACAGAACAGAACUCUGGGCCAAGGGCUCAAUGCCAUUGCCCUCACCUAGCUCUUCAGAUCUUCAGCUCUCCCUUCACUCUUCCGAGAAAGGGAAAUCCACAAAUAAGCUCUUUCUUACUGAUGCUCAUCCCAUUGCUAUCACUGCAAGUGUCCUUCUAAGUCUACAACCUGAGUCUCUUCUUCAGGGCUCUGCAAGUGGCUCUCUUGUGCCCAUCCAGCUCUGAGCAGAUUCUGCCCCCGAAUGUAGAGUGGUUUUCACCUUCCUGCUGAAGCCCAGGAAGAAUGUGCGGCAGGCUCCUGAACCCUGUGGAUCUCCACUCAGCACACUUCUAUUGGGCUCAGCGCAGUGACAGCUGUGACAAAUACCAUGGCAAUUUCCCAGAUAAGAUUGUAUCUGAGUAGGGGCUACAUUUCCUCCAAAGUUGCAGGGGCCAUUAUUAUUCUUUGGAGAGGAAUUCUGAGGAGGAAAUAGCUGAUUUAAAUGCCUGCUGUCAGUUGCCAAAGAAAUUGUUACAAAAUACUACCAAAACGAUGUGGAAAACUGCCCAUUGCUUUGGAUACCAUUAUUUUUCUUGUGCUCGCUCCCAUUCAUCAUCUGAGAUUUUCCUCUUUGUCAACCAGGUGCAUGAGGACGCCAGGGGCUCCUAACUCAGAGCUUAGUUUGUGUUCCUUUCUAUUCUGCAUUAUGGUUAUCCAGUCAUUCCUUGUGUCCUCUUUUUUUUCCUUUCUGGUAUUGGGGAUCAAACUUAGAACGUUGCACUUGCCAGGUAGGCUCGGUGGCACUGAGCUACAUAUCUGGCCCUUCUUGUGGUCUCUUUGGUUUGGUUUGUUUUUGAGACAGGGUCUUGUUAGGUAGCUCAAGGUAGCCUUGAACUUUCCGUGUAGCACAGGCUGACCUUGAACUUGCCUCACCUUAAUCUUCCUGACUCA